RNAcentral lists this unclassified non-coding RNA (248 nucleotides) under Hevea brasiliensis (rubber tree). Lineage: Eukaryota; Viridiplantae; Streptophyta; Magnoliopsida; Malpighiales; Euphorbiaceae. The record is from RNAcentral.
GAUUUCACCUAAAGAGAUAUGAAACAUAUCCCUCUAGGUUGCUAAGAUAGCUCUUUGCAGUUUAGGCUGAAGUCGUUCAAGAAGAGAUGCAAAGUACAUAUGCCUCAAGUUUUGAACAUUAUAGCCAUUCAAUAUGUAGUACAGCUGAGACAUUUUUUGACAAUGAAAUUUGAUGUCUUUCCCUUUAAUGAACAGCCUUUCAUCUCAAAAUAUUCCAAUCUCAAUUGCUUUUGCUUAUUAAUGAGGCA